AAAAAGGCGAUGAGCAAGAGGAGUAAGCAGUUGAAUUUCCACAGAGAGGAACCGGUCGGGUUACAGUGCCCCAGGGUGAGAGGUUCCGGAAAACAGCCUGCCGAAGGUAGCUUGGGAGCUCUGCACCGAAAGAAGUACCUGCCAUAUAGUCCACUAUAUGAUAUCCGGUUUCAAAGUAGGCUGCAGCGGAUUUUCGGACGUUAUCCGAUUGAGAGAUUCACACCGGUUUUUAGGCAUAUUUAGUCAUAUAGAACUUGUGAAAUUUUGGUGGUACCGCGAAACAGCAGCUUCGUCCAAAUA
Molecule: non-coding RNA, 300 nt
Filed under: Ruminiclostridium cellobioparum subsp. termitidis
Lineage: Bacteria; Bacillati; Bacillota; Clostridia; Eubacteriales; Oscillospiraceae
Description: Clostridium termitidis T-box sequence
Rfam family: T-box leader
About the family: Uncharged tRNA acts as the effector for transcription antitermination of genes in the T-box leader family. T-boxes are found upstream of many aminoacyl-tRNA synthetase genes and some amino acid biosynthetic genes usually in Gram-positive bacteria. The anticodon of a specific tRNA base pairs to a specifier sequence within the T-box motif, and the NCCA acceptor tail of the tRNA base pairs to a conserved bulge in the T-box antiterminator hairpin.
Source: RNAcentral